RNAcentral lists this ribosomal RNA (253 nucleotides) under uncultured bacterium. RNAcentral describes it as "partial 16S ribosomal RNA". It matches the Rfam family "Bacterial small subunit ribosomal RNA", at positions 524 to 776 of the family's 1533-position model. The record is from RNAcentral.
UACGUAGGGUGCGAGCGUUAAUCGGAAUUACUGGGCGUAAAGGAUGCGCAGGCGGACAUUUAAGUCAGAUGUGAAAUACCCGAGCUUAACUUGGGUGCUGCAUUUGAAACUGGGUGUCUAGAGUGCAGGAGAGGUAAGUGGAAUUCCUAGUGUAGCGGUGAAAUGCGUAGAGAUUAGGAAGAACACCAGUGGCGAAGGCGACUUACUGGACUGUAACUGACGCUGAGGCAUGAAAGCGUGGGGAGCAAACAGG